RNAcentral lists this ribosomal RNA (459 nucleotides) under uncultured bacterium. Its description in RNAcentral is "partial 16S ribosomal RNA". It matches the Rfam family "Bacterial small subunit ribosomal RNA", at positions 338 to 795 of the family's 1533-position model. The record is from RNAcentral.
CCUACGGGUGGCAGCAGUGAGGAAUAUUGGUCAAUGGACGGAAGUCUGAACCAGCCAUGCCGCGUGCAGGAAGACGGCUCUAUGAGUUGUAAACUGCUUUUGUACAAGGGUAAACCUGAAUACGUGUAUUCAGCUGAAAGUACUGUACGAAUAAGGAUCGGCUAACUCCGUGCCAGCAGCCGCGGUAAUACGGAGGAUCCAAGCGUUAUCCGGAUUUAUUGGGUUUAAAGGGUGCGUAGGCGGAUUGAUAAGUUAGAGGUAAAAUGUCCGAGCUUAACUCGGGAACUGCCUCAAUACUGUUGAGCUAGAGAGUAGAUGCGGUAGGCAGAAUGUAUGGUGUAGCGGUGAAAUGCUUAGAGAUCAUACAGAACACCGAUUGCGAAGGCAGCUUACCAAUCUAUAUCUGACGUUGAGGCACGAAAGCGUGGGGAGCAAACAGGAUUAGAUACCCUGGUAGUC